This 292-nucleotide ribosomal RNA is filed under the name uncultured Sphingomonas sp. Its description in RNAcentral is "partial 16S ribosomal RNA". It matches the Rfam family "Bacterial small subunit ribosomal RNA", at positions 505 to 796 of the family's 1533-position model. Lineage: Bacteria; Pseudomonadati; Pseudomonadota; Alphaproteobacteria; Sphingomonadales; Sphingomonadaceae. The record is from RNAcentral.
GUGUCAGCCGCCGCGGUAAUACGUAGGGGGCAAGCGUUGUUCGGAAUUACUGGGCGUAAAGCGCACGUAGGCGGCUUUGUAAGUUAGAGAUGAAAGCCUGGAGCUUAACUCCAGAACUGCCUUUAAGACUGCAUCGCUUGAAUCCGGGAGAGGUGAGUGGAAUUCCGAGUGUAGAGGUGAAAUUCGUAGAUAUUCGGAAGAACACCAGUGGCGAAGGCGGCUCACUGGACCGGUAUUGACGCUGAGGUGCGAAAGCGUGGGGAGCAAACAGGAUUAGAAACCCUGGUAGUCC